RNAcentral lists this ribosomal RNA (433 nucleotides) under uncultured bacterium. RNAcentral's name for it is "partial 16S ribosomal RNA". It matches the Rfam family "Bacterial small subunit ribosomal RNA", at positions 29 to 507 of the family's 1533-position model. The record is from RNAcentral.
AACGAACGCUGGCGGCAUGCCUAACACAUGCAAGUCGAACGAGACCUUCGGGGCUAGUGGCGCACGGGUGCGUAACGCGUGGGAACCUGCCCUUAGGUUCGGAAUAACUCCCCGAAAGGGGUGCUAAUACCGGAUAAUGUCUUCGGACCAAAGAUUUAUCGCCUUUGGAUGGGCCCGCGUUGGAUUAGCUAGUUGGUAGGGUAAAAGCCUACCAAGGCGACGAUCCAUAGCUGGUCUGAGAGGAUGAUCAGCCACACUGGGACUGAGACACGGCCCAGACUCCUACGGGAGGCAGCAGUGGGGAAUAUUAGACAAUGGGCGAAAGCCUGAUCCAGCAAUGCCGCGUGAGUGAUGAAGGCCUUAGGGUUGUAAAGCUCUUUUACCCGGGAUGAUAAUGACAGUACCGGGAGAAUAAGCUCCGGCUAACUCCGUG